This 228-nucleotide long non-coding RNA is filed under the name Phaseolus vulgaris (common bean). RNAcentral's name for it is "long non-coding RNA (PVUL_LNC000821)". Lineage: Eukaryota; Viridiplantae; Streptophyta; Magnoliopsida; Fabales; Fabaceae. The record is from RNAcentral.
AGUUUUCUAAAUGCUUUUAGUAUUAAGUGUAUAUAUUUAGAUUGUCUAAUCUCUUUAAACAAGAGUGAGUGAAAGAUUGUCUAAUCCCUUUAAAUAUGCUUUCACUUGGCUUUAAUCUUCUUUUUAUCCGUAAAAUAUAGUUGUAUAUAUCAGUUAUAAAGUCUAAGUGAUGAUAUAUUGAGGUUGUUUAAAGACUGUGUAAUCUAAUUAUAUAUUAUGCUAUGUCAU